Molecule: ribosomal RNA, 468 nt
Filed under: uncultured bacterium
Lineage: Bacteria
Description: partial 16S ribosomal RNA
Rfam family: Bacterial small subunit ribosomal RNA
Source: RNAcentral
GACGAACGCUGGCGGCGUGCUUAACACAUGCAAGUCGAACGGAAAGGCCCUGCUUUUGUGGGGUGCUCGAGUGGCGAACGGGUGAGUAACACGUGAGUAACCUGCCCUUGACUUUGGGAUAACUUCAGGAAACUGGGGCUAAUACCGGAUAGGAGCUCCUGCUGCAUGGUGGGGGUUGGAAAGUUUCGGCGGUUGGGGAUGGACUCGCGGCUUAUCAGCUUGUUGGUGGGGUAGUGGCUUACCAAGGCUUUGACGGGUAGCCGGCCUGAGAGGGUGACCGGCCACAUUGGGACUGGGAUACGGCCCAGACUCCUACGGGGGGGAGCAGUGGGGGAUAAUGCACAAUGGGCGGAAGCCUGAUGGAGCAACGCCGCGUGCGGGAUGACGGCCUUCGGGGUGUAAACCGCUUUCGCCUGUGACGAAGCGUGAGUGACGGUAAUGGGUAAAGAAGCACCGGCUAACUACGUG